AGAGUUUGAUCAUGGCUCAGAUUGAACGCUGGCGGCAGGCCUAACACAUGCAAGUCGAGCGGCAGCGGGAAGUAGCUUGCUACUUUGCCGGCGAGCGGCGGACGGGUGAGUAAUGUCUGGGAAACUGCCUGAUGGAGGGGGAUAACUACUGGAAACGGUAGCUAAUACCGCAUGACGUCGCAAGACCAAAGUGGGGGACCUUCGGGCCUCACGCCAUCGGAUGUGCCCAGAUGGGAUUAGCUAGUAGGUGAGGUAAUGGCUCACCUAGGCGACGAUCCCUAGCUGGUCUGAGAGGAUGACCAGCCACACUGGAACUGAGACACGGUCCAGACUCCUACGGGAGGCAGCAGUGGGGAAUAUUGCACAAUGGGCGCAAGCCUGAUGCAGCCAUGCCGCGUGUGUGAAGAAGGCCUUAGGGUUGUAAAGCACUUUCAGCGAGGAGGAAGGCGUUGUAGUUAAUAGCUGCAACGAUUGACGUUACUCGCAGAAGAAGCACCGGCUAACUCCGUGCCAGCAGCCGCGGUAAUACGGAGGGUGCAAGCGUUAAUCGGAAUUACUGGGCGUAAAGCGCACGCAGGCGGUUUGUUAAGUCAGAUGUGAAAUCCCCGAG
RNAcentral lists this ribosomal RNA (610 nucleotides) under uncultured bacterium. Its description in RNAcentral is "bacterial SSU rRNA". It matches the Rfam family "Bacterial small subunit ribosomal RNA", at positions 8 to 607 of the family's 1533-position model. The record is from RNAcentral.